This 489-nucleotide ribosomal RNA is filed under the name uncultured bacterium. RNAcentral's name for it is "partial 16S ribosomal RNA". It matches the Rfam family "Bacterial small subunit ribosomal RNA", at positions 29 to 504 of the family's 1533-position model. The record is from RNAcentral.
AGUGAACGCUGGCGGUAGGCCUAACACAUGCAAGUCGAACGGCAGCACAGUAAGAGCUUGCUCUUACGGGUGGCGAGUGGCGGACGGGUGAGGAAUACAUCGGAAUCUACUUUUUCGUGGGGGAUAACGUAGGGAAACUUACGCUAAUACCGCAUACGACCUACGGGUGAAAGCAGGGGAUCUUCGGACCUUGCGCGAUUGAAUGAGCCGAUGUCGGAUUAGCUAGUUGGCGGGGUAAAGGCCCACCAAGGCGACGAUCCGUUGCUGGUCUGAGAGGAUGAGCAACACCACUGGAACGGCACCGCGGACAAGACUCCUAGGGGAGGCAGCAGGGGAGAAUAUUGGACAGUGGGCACAAGCCUGAUCCAGCCAUGCCGCGUGGGUGAAGAAGGCCUUCGGGUUGUAAAGCCCUUUUGUUGGGAAAGAAAAGCAGCAGGUUAAUACCCCGCUGUGCUGACGGUACCCAAAGAAUAAGCACCGGCUAACGUC